Molecule: non-coding RNA, 429 nt
Organism: Phyllostomus hastatus (greater spear-nosed bat)
Lineage: Eukaryota; Metazoa; Chordata; Mammalia; Chiroptera; Phyllostomidae
Source: the annotation of a RefSeq genome assembly
UGGAGAGGCCAGGGCCAGCCGGGCAGCCUCAGGGCAGAGCUCUUGGAAGCCCCUCCCACCAUGGACUGGGCUCCUUUGUACCUCCUGCCCCUGGUUUUCUCCACAGGUCUCUGUGCUUUGCCUGUGCUGACCCAGCCCCCGUCUGCUUCUGCCUCCCUGGGAGCCUCGGCCAAGCUCACCUGCACCCUCAGUAGUGAGCACAGCAGCUACACUAUUGAAUGGUAUCAGCAGCAUCCAGGGAAGGCCCCUCGGUAUGUGAUGCAGCUUAAGAGUGAUGGAAGCCAGAGCAAGGGAGAUGGGAUCCCUGAUCGCUUCUCAGGCUCCAGCUCUGGGGCCAACCGCUACUUGACCAUCUCCAACCUCCAGUCUGAGGAUGAGGCUGAGUAUAUCUGUGGUGAGAGCCAUACAAUUGAUGGCCAAACUGGUUAA